GCCGGUGUAGCUCAGCUGGUAGAGCGGAGGACUGAAAAUCCUUAUGUCGUCAGUUCGAUUCUGACCGCUGGCA
Treponema succinifaciens DSM 2489 is the source of this 73-nucleotide transfer RNA. It matches the Rfam family "tRNA". Rfam says of the family: Transfer RNA (tRNA) molecules are approximately 80 nucleotides in length. Their secondary structure includes four short double-helical elements and three loops (D, anti-codon, and T loops). NCBI's taxonomy places the organism in Bacteria, Pseudomonadati, Spirochaetota, Spirochaetia, Treponematales, Treponemataceae. The record is from Rfam.